RNAcentral lists this ribosomal RNA (369 nucleotides) under Triticum aestivum (bread wheat). RNAcentral's name for it is "partial small subunit ribosomal RNA". Lineage: Eukaryota; Viridiplantae; Streptophyta; Magnoliopsida; Poales; Poaceae. The record is from RNAcentral.
AUGACCUACCCGACCUGCCCUUCCCCGUCCGACCUAUCCGACCUGCCAUUCCCCGUCCAGCCGCGGCGGCCCCUCAUGCCCGACCUGCCCUUCCCCGUCCAGCCGCCGCGACCCCUCAUGCUCUCCCACCUGCCGCCGCCAAGCAUGCUUGCCUCCAGCCAGCCGCCCCUGCUGACCCUGCCGCCCUCACCGCCGGUGGUCCCCGGCGAGCAACCUCUCCAGAGACGCGGGAUCCAGCCGCCGUCGCCACCAUGGAUUCCGCCUCCAUUUCCCAAUCGAUCGUCCUCAUGGCCAGUCACCGCCGGUGAGUUACGCCACCACGCCCAACGCCCCCCUCCCAGUCACCGCUGCUCCACAGAUGAGCAUUAA